Molecule: transfer RNA, 72 nt
Filed under: Camelus bactrianus (Bactrian camel)
Lineage: Eukaryota; Metazoa; Chordata; Mammalia; Artiodactyla; Camelidae
Also listed under: 2 other names
Rfam family: tRNA
About the family: Transfer RNA (tRNA) molecules are approximately 80 nucleotides in length. Their secondary structure includes four short double-helical elements and three loops (D, anti-codon, and T loops).
Source: Rfam by way of RNAcentral
GAGGGUGUAGCUCAGUGGUAGAGUAUCUGCUUAGCAUGCACGAGGACCUGGGUUCAAUCCCCAGUACCGCCA